GUACCUACGGGGCGCAGCAGUAGGGAAUCUUCGGCAAUGGGCGAAAGCCUGACCGAGCAACGCCGCGUGAAUGAAGAAGGCCUUCGGGUUGUAAAAUUCUGUUAUAAGGGAAGAAAGGUGAUAGGAGGAAAUGACUAUCAAUUGACGGUACCUUAUGAGAAAGCCACGGCUAACUACGUGCCAGCAACCGCGGUAAUACGUAGGUGGCAAGCGUUAUCCGGAAUUAUUGGGCGUAAAGAGCGCGCAGGUGGUUAAUUAAGUCUGAUGUGAAAGCCCACGGCUUAACCGGAGAAUUGCAUCAGAAA
This 305-nucleotide ribosomal RNA is filed under the name uncultured bacterium. RNAcentral's name for it is "bacterial SSU rRNA". It matches the Rfam family "Bacterial small subunit ribosomal RNA", at positions 333 to 632 of the family's 1533-position model. The record is from RNAcentral.